RNAcentral lists this long non-coding RNA (1789 nucleotides) under Hordeum vulgare. RNAcentral describes it as "long non-coding RNA (HVUL_LNC018127)". Lineage: Eukaryota; Viridiplantae; Streptophyta; Magnoliopsida; Poales; Poaceae. The record is from RNAcentral.
AUAAAUUCAUGAAUCAUAUUCAUGUAGACAAAUGUAUAAAAAAUAGUGUUGUUUUAUCAUACUUGUACCUUCCUUAGAGUAUGUACUAUUAUGCUUUCCAACUCCUAUAGGUUUGGCCAUUGGAUGCUGCUUCAUGGUCCUAUCUUCCUCUGUCCCUUCAAAAGUAAAUAAGAUCAUGGAGAAUAUAGAGAACUUCGUAGAAAAAAGUGAAGAUACUGGAGAAUAAGAUAAUGGAGAAUAUAAGAGACUUGCAGCAGUGUGCGCCAUAGCUGCAGGAGGAUGGCUAAGUUUAGGUGGUUCGAGAAGGGCUUCAGUCUGCUAACAACAGGCGGCAACUUGGGCUCGCCGUAGACAGUAAGGUAGUGACACCACUGGAUUAUAUACUUGUGCAAUUUUAAGUGUUACUGUUACAAUACUAAUUAACAAACAGUAUAUCUUAUCAAAAUCUCAUAAUGUGUCAGACUACUGAGUGAUAUUUCUGCAUAUAAAAUAUGUUGCAAGAUUUAAUAAUGAUAUUAUUGACAGAACACUACAACCUGUACAUGUGAACAGGCUUCAUGUCAAAAUGUGGUGAGAAUAAAUCUAAUGCGCACUAACGAUCAGGCUUUCAAAUAAUUAUGAACUAAAUUAUGCAACUUCCAGACUCUUUGAGACGAACUGUCUAAUCACUCUUUAUAUCAUCCGAACAAAAACACACUUCAAAAAUAGGUAUGUACAUAACGGCAAACUGCUAACUUCUUAUAUCAGUGAAUACUGAGAUAUAUAUUCACCUGAAUCAAUUUUCUUGCUAAUCUUAAAAUACUAACCUAAGUUCCAUUGCAUGUAUUUAAGAAUAACAUACGCACUUUCUUAUUUUAUCUAUAUCGAUCCUAUCACAGAGUUGUUGCGUUAUCACAGAAUUCCAUUUCCUAUACGUGAACGCCGUUCUUCAUGGCAUCCACGUUAUACUUACACAGGAUACCUGGUGACCUUUGGAAGCACGGUCUCGAUGCACACUGCUACCACUGAUUAAAGCCCAAGAAAAACAGAAAACCAAAUGAUCAAAAACGUAAGUACCUACAAAACAAAUGAUUUUCCAUUUUUUACAUGUGAUUGGUAAUUAUUUGAAAUAAAUGUAAAUAAAUUGUGCAAAAGAAAUGAAUAAUCCAAUCACCUUGCUUCCAUGGUAUUUCCUUCCAUCAAGUCAUUUGUAGAAUGUACUCUCGAACAUUAAAUAGCCGAGUAUGUCCGAGCAGCAUGCUCCACCGACUAAGCAUGUGACUAUAAUGUUUACUCUAAUUUGUUCUUCCUCCGUAAUGAAACAUAAAAAAUGCUCAUCAAUGAAACGCCUACAUAGUUCUGUAGAUUAUGGGAAAACAGAAUUUUUCUUACCUUGUUUCCAUGUUAGUCUAUGUCUCAUAUUUCCAAUAGGUGGUAUCCAUGUUCUCUGGAUGGAUGAGUACCUUCUUAAUUGGAUUACAAACACCUCUGAAGUAGUAGCAAUUGUGGUUAGACUUGUAGCAGCUGAUUUCCCGUGGCCAUGAAUACCUUAGACAACGUGGGGAUAAUCUUCUAUCUCAAAGUUCCACUGCAGCAGGUCGUCAGGGAGCAAGGCAUCGAGGGAGGUGAGGGAGGGCUCGGGUGCUGGCAUCUACGUAGAUUAAGAAGGAGAAUACAAUGGACGAUGGAAAGGAAGGAGGAGACGUAGAUAGAAAAAUAUUGCCUGGCGAUUCUUUGGGGAUAGAUCGAUCGUGAACUUUCGUGGAUAAGUACGAUAGAGGUAGCCUAGAUUGGUUUUUUUACAUGUACC